GCAAACAGGAUGAAGACAGAGACUGAGUCGGUGGACUCUGAGGCUGAAGGCCAGUAAGGACUGAAAGAUGUGUUGCAAACCUAUUGUGGGACAGCGUGUGGAAGAGUGACCAGUCUUCCUUGAAGAGCCUGUUAACGCUUCUGAAGGAGCUGUGGAUUCCAAAGUUGCCUGUAUUGCUAACAGAGUGGCUGAAAUAGUUUACUCCUGGCAUGGAUCUGUUGGUCUCAUGGAGGUAAAACGAUAAACUGUGUGCUUAC
Molecule: long non-coding RNA, 257 nt
Filed under: Rattus norvegicus (Norway rat)
Lineage: Eukaryota; Metazoa; Chordata; Mammalia; Rodentia; Muridae
Description: long non-coding RNA NONRATT020969
Source: RNAcentral